Odocoileus virginianus texanus is the source of this 604-nucleotide non-coding RNA. The record is from the annotation of a RefSeq genome assembly. Lineage: Eukaryota; Metazoa; Chordata; Mammalia; Artiodactyla; Cervidae.
GCUCAGGGCUGAGACAGGAGCUGAGACCCAGGACGGGGGCGGGGACUUGAUUGGCAUGCACUGCCCUCCUGGAGCUGCAGGGGAGAGGAUCAAACGGGGGCCUGGAGAGGCCAGUCCAGCUGGGCAGCCUCAGGGCAGAGGUCAGGACGCGCCUCCCACCACGGCCUGGGUCCUCUUCUACCUGCUGUCGCUGCUGAUCAACACAGGGCUCUGUGCUCGGCCUGUGCUGACCCAGUCCCCGUCUGCGGCCUCCUCCCUGGGAGGCUCGGCCAAGCUCACCUGCACCCUGAGCAGUGAGCAUAGCACACACUUCAUUCAGUGGGAUCAACAGAGCCCUGGGCAGGCCCCUCGGUAUCUGAUGAAACUGACCAGUGACGGAGAAGUCACCAGAGGGGACGGGAUCCCCGGCCGCUUCUCCGGCUCCAGCUCCGGGGCUGAGCGCUACCUGACCAUCAGCAGCCUCCAGUCUGAUGACGAGGCUGAUUACAUCUGUGGUGUCAGCUAUAAUGAUGGUGGCCAGAGUGGGUACCACAGUGACACAGACAAAGAGGAAGUGAGGCACAAACCUCCCUCCCAUGCCCUCUGCCCACGGGCACCAGGGUGA